UUGAACGCUGGCGGCAGGCCUAACCCCUGCAAGUCGCACGGUAACAGGAAUCAGCUUGCUGAUUUGCUGACGAGUGGCGGACGGGUGAGUAAUGUCUGGGAAACUGCCUGAUGGAGGGGGAUAACUACUGGAAACGGUAGCUAAUACCGCAUAACGUCGCAAGACCAAAGAGGGGGACCUUCGGGCCUCUUGCCAUCGGAUGUGCCCAGAUGGGAUUAGCUAGUAGGUGGGGUAAAGGCUCACCUAGGCGACGAUCCCUAGCUGGUCUGAGAGGAUGACCAGCCACACUGGAACUGAGACACGGUCCAGACUCCUACGGGAGGCAGCAGUGGGGAAUAUUGCACAAUGGGCGCAAGCCUGAUGCAGCCAUGCCGCGUGUAUGAAGAAGGCCUUCGGGUUGUAAAGUACUUUCAGCGGGGAGGAAGGGAGUAAAGUUAAUACCUUUGCUCAUUGACGUUACCCGCAGAAGAAGCACCGGCUAACUCCGUG
This 489-nucleotide ribosomal RNA is filed under the name uncultured bacterium. RNAcentral describes it as "partial 16S ribosomal RNA". It matches the Rfam family "Bacterial small subunit ribosomal RNA", at positions 30 to 507 of the family's 1533-position model. The record is from RNAcentral.